Molecule: long non-coding RNA, 476 nt
Organism: Pteropus alecto (black flying fox)
Lineage: Eukaryota; Metazoa; Chordata; Mammalia; Chiroptera; Pteropodidae
Exons: 4
Source: RefSeq, a predicted model, not a curated record
UAAAGAACAUGUGGUCACAUUUUUGUCUGACAUCAUCAAGAACAUAGAGAAGUUGUGAUUCCAGCCUCAGAGGAGUGAGCUUUUAUCUCUCUGUGACUCUCUAAAGCCAUCUUUACAGCAAGAAGUGUCACAGCCUCAGUUCAUAGACUCCAACUAACCAACUAAAGAAUUGUUAACUCAGAGCAUUGUUCCUGAGGAAGAAAAGACCCAAGACACCCACCAACAUCUGCUUUGUGCCAAGAAUCUACAGUUGGGUUGCAAGGAUAGCACAUUGGGAAAAUGAGAGUGAGACCGAGUAAGGAGCCAGCCGAGGUGUCUCAAGUCAUCUCAAGGAUUCCCAGCCCCCGCUGCUGAAAGCAGAGAGAAGAAAGGACCCAGGCACAGCAGGUGUACUCCCACCAUGGGGCAGAGCUGCCAGCGAGCAUGCGAGGAAGCAUGCGAAAGGCCAAUCCAGCCCCCGCUUACUAAAGCUAAGG